This 460-nucleotide ribosomal RNA is filed under the name uncultured bacterium. RNAcentral describes it as "partial 16S ribosomal RNA". It matches the Rfam family "Bacterial small subunit ribosomal RNA", at positions 338 to 795 of the family's 1533-position model. The record is from RNAcentral.
CCUACGGGUGGCUGCAGUGAGGAAUAUUGCUCAAUGGGCGCGAGCCUGAACCAGCCAAGCAGCGUGAAGGAUGACUGCCCUCCGGGUUGUAAACUCCUUUUAUAAAGGAAUAAAGUGAGGCACGUGUUCCUCUUUGUAUGUACUUUAUGAACAAGGAUAGGCUAACGCCGUGCCAGCAGCAGCGGUAAUACGGAGGGUCCGAGCGUUAUCCGGAUUUAUUGGGUUUAAAGUGAGCGUAGAUGGGUUGUUAAGUCAGGUGUGAAAGUUUGGGGCUCAACCGUAGAAUUGCAAUUGAUACUGGCAGCCUUGAGUACGGGUGAGGUAGGCGGAAUUUGUGGUGUAGCAGUGAAAUGCUUAGAUAUCACGAGGAACACCGGUUGCGAAGGCGGCCUACUGAACUGCCACUGACGUUGAGGCGCGAAAGUGUGGGUAGCAAACAGGAUUAGAUACCCUUGUAGUC